This 1372-nucleotide ribosomal RNA is filed under the name uncultured bacterium. RNAcentral describes it as "bacterial SSU rRNA". It matches the Rfam family "Bacterial small subunit ribosomal RNA", at positions 28 to 1381 of the family's 1533-position model. The record is from RNAcentral.
GAUGAACGCUGGCGGCGUGCCUAAUACAUGCAAGUCGAGCGAACGGACGAGAAGCUUGCUUCUCUGAUGUUAGCGGCGGACGGGUGAGUAACACGUGGAUAACCUACCUAUAAGACUGGGAUAACUUCGGGAAACCGGAGCUAAUACCGGAUAAUAUUUUGAACCGCAUGGUUCAAAAGUGAAAGACGGUCUUGCUGUCACUUAUAGAUGGAUCCGCGCUGCAUUAGCUAGUUGGUAAGGUAACGGCUUACCAAGGCAACGAUGCAUAGCCGACCUGAGAGGGUGAUCGGCCACACUGGAACUGAGACACGGUCCAGACUCCUACGGGAGGCAGCAGUAGGGAAUCUUCCGCAAUGGGCGAAAGCCUGACGGAGCAACGCCGCGUGAGUGAUGAAGGUCUUCGGAUCGUAAAACUCUGUUAUUAGGGAAGAACAUAUGUGUAAGUAACUGUGCACAUCUUGACGGUACCUAAUCAGAAAGCCACGGCUAACUACGUGCCAGCAGCCGCGGUAAUACGUAGGUGGCAAGCGUUAUCCGGAAUUAUUGGGCGUAAAGCGCGCGUAGGCGGUUUUUUAAGUCUGAUGUGAAAGCCCACGGCUCAAUCGUGGAGGGUCAUUGGAAACUGGAAAACUUGAGUGCAGAAGAGGAAAGUGGAAUUCCAUGUGCAGCGGUGAAAUGCGCAGAGAUAUGGAGGAACACCAGUGGCGAAGGCGACUUUCUGGUCUGUAACUGACGCUGAUGUGCGAAAGCGUGGGGAUCAAACAGGAUUAGAUACCCUGGUAGUCCACGCCGUAAACGAUGAGUGCUAAGUGUUAGGGGGUUUCCGCCCCUUAGUGCUGCAGCUAACGCAUUAAGCACUCCGCCUGGGGAGUACGACCGCAAGGUUGAAACUCAAAGGAAUUGACGGGGACCCGCACAAGCGGUGGAGCAUGUGGUUUAAUUCGAAGCAACGCGAAGAACCUUACCAAAUCUUGACAUCCUUUGACAACUCUAGAGAUAGAGCCUUCCCCUUCGGGGGACAAAGUGACAGGUGGUGCAUGGUUGUCGUCAGCUCGUGUCGUGAGAUGUUGGGUUAAGUCCCGCAACGAGCGCAACCCUUAAGCUUAGUUGCCAUCAUUAAGUUGGGCACUCUAAGUUGACUGCCGGUGACAAACCGGAGGAAGGUGGGGAUGACGUCAAAUCAUCAUGCCCCUUAUGAUUUGGGCUACACACGUGCUACAAUGGACAAUACAAAGGGCAGCGAAACCGCGAGGUCAAGCAAAUCCCAUAAAGUUGUUCUCAGUUCGGAUUGUAGUCUGCAACUCGACUACAUGAAGCUGGAAUCGCUAGUAAUCGUAGAUCAGCAUGCUACGGUGAAUACGUUCCCGGGUCU